GACGAACGCUGGCGGCGUGCCUAAUACAUGCAAGUAGAACGCAGUUGCGAACGGGUGAGUAACGCGUGGGUAACUGCCUCAUAGCGGGGGAUAACUAUUGGAAACGAUAGCUAAUACCCCAUACUGUGAGAUGGACCUUCGUUGUGUUAGCUAGUUGGUGAGGUAAAUGCUCACCAAGGCGACGAUACAUAGCCGACCUGAGAGGGAGAUCCGCCCCCAUGGGACCGGUACACGGGCCAGACGCCUACGGGAGGCAGGAGUAGGGAAUUUUUGGACAUGGGCGGAAGUCUGACUGAGCAACGCCGCGUGGGUUAAGAAGGUUUCCGGAUCGGAAAGCUCUGUUGAUAGAGAAGCGGUAACUAACCAGAAAGGGACGGCUAACUACGUGCCAGCAGCCGCGGUAAUUC
This 407-nucleotide ribosomal RNA is filed under the name uncultured bacterium. RNAcentral's name for it is "partial 16S ribosomal RNA". It matches the Rfam family "Bacterial small subunit ribosomal RNA", at positions 28 to 526 of the family's 1533-position model. The record is from RNAcentral.